CCAGAACCUAUAGCCGUCGGGUCGACCCAUUCCGUUCAGUUCUAAACCAAACAGAAACCAUACAGCCAUCAUACGCGCGAAUACAGUUGUAAACAAGCGGUGUAGAGAAAAUAGAUAAACAAAGUUUAGAAAUGGAAGAGGAUAUUCUCCUAUUGCUAGUCUGGACCCUGCUCCUGAUUAUCCUGUUCCUCUUGUUCCUCUACACCUUCUCUUCCUCCCUCCAAGAGCUCUGGGGAGCCUUAGUUACUGGAACCUUUGGGAAACCUCAGGUUCCUAAAUAUCAGACAGAAGUUAUAAAACUUCUUCGAGAAAUCUCAAAAGAAUCUACUCCGACAGAAACACAAGAUUUCCUUCAGAAGAAAGAAAUUGAAAUCCGACUGCUGUAAAAAUAUUGAUUCUAUAUAAAGAGUGAGACCCUUAAAAUAUUGGAAUAGCAAGACGGCAUUUAAGAAAGCUUAUGGGGUAUUGAUUUGAUGAUCCUUAAUUAAAUACUUUUACCAUCCAUUGCUUGAAAAUCACUACAUAAUACAGGGUGUCCCAAAAAACAUGGGAAUUUAGUGACGAAUUGGAUAUCGUCUUUGUUAUAAUUAGCAUUGU
Molecule: long non-coding RNA, 597 nt
Organism: Eurytemora carolleeae
Lineage: Eukaryota; Metazoa; Arthropoda; Copepoda; Calanoida; Temoridae
Exons: 3
Source: RefSeq, a predicted model, not a curated record